AGCAGCCGCGGUAAUUCCAGCUCCAAUAGCGUAUAUUAAAGUUGUUGCAGUUAAAAAGCUCGUAGUUGAAUUUCGGGACUAAUAUGUCGGUCGUGCCUCGGUACGAACUGGUUUUAUUGGUUUCUCCUUUCUGAAGAACCAUGAUGUCAUUUAUUUGGUGUCGUGGGGAAUCAGGACUGUUACUUUGAAAAAAUUAGAGUGUUUAAAGCAGGCUCACGCUUGAAUACAUUAGCAUGGAAUAAUGAAAUAGGACGUUCGAACCUAUUUUGUUGGUUUCUAGGAUCAACGUAAUGAUUAAUAGGGAUAGUUGGGGGCAUUAGUAUUCAAUUGUCAGAGGUGAAAUUCUUGGAUUUAUUGAAGACUAACUACUGCGAAAGCAUUUGCCAAGGAUGUUUUCAUUAAUCAAGAACGAAAGUUAGGGGAUCGAAGACGAUCAGAUACCGUCGUAGUCUUAACCAUAAACUAUGCCGACUAGGGAUCGGAUGAUGUUAAUUUUUUAAUGACUCAUUCGGCGCCUUAC
Molecule: ribosomal RNA, 520 nt
Filed under: uncultured Glomus
Lineage: Eukaryota; Fungi; Glomeromycota; Glomeromycetes; Glomerales; Glomeraceae
Description: SSU rRNA
Rfam family: Eukaryotic small subunit ribosomal RNA
Source: RNAcentral